This 581-nucleotide long non-coding RNA is filed under the name Dasypus novemcinctus (nine-banded armadillo). Its description in RNAcentral is "lncRNA (ENSDNOG00000050185.1)". Lineage: Eukaryota; Metazoa; Chordata; Mammalia; Cingulata; Dasypodidae. The record is from RNAcentral.
AAAAUACUAUCAUCCACCUGGCUCUAAAAUAUAUGGGUGGUGGGUCACCAUCUUUCCCUGGGGAUGGUUGCAGGGGAUGUGGGGUCUCCCAGGAAAGCCAGUUUUGUUGCAUCCUAGGAUUGAUUCAUCUCAGAAACUGAAAGUGCCUUCCCUCACCAUAGCUUCUCUCUAAGCCUGUCCUUCCAUUAUCUCCAAACGACAGAAAUCUGAGCCUUUAGUUUCGUGGUGCCUUGGAGAAGCAGUGGCCACAUAAGGGAUGGUGCAGUGUGGAGGAAGGACUGUCACCACAGGAGGCAAGGUGAUGAUCAAGGCCAAGAAUUCAGCAGGGAAAAGAAAGGGGAGCAAGAGAGUCCAGGAUUGUGGAGUAGAAUGGUCCACUAUCUGGAAUUGCCAGAUUAUUUCCUCAUGAUUCAUGAUUAGAUUUUAGGCUAAGCAGUUUUGGCAAGAAUAGGAUGCAGGUGAUGUAUGUAUGUCUUUUUUUUAAGGAUUUAUUUAUUUUAUUUUAUUUCUUCCCCCUCCUCCCUUGUUUGUGCUCACUGUCUGCUCUUGGUUCUCCACAGUGGCGCAGGCCAGCUUGCUUU